GAUGAACGCUGGCGGCGUGCCUAAUACAUGCCAGUCGAGCGAACAGACGAGGAGCUUGCUCCUCUGACGUUAGCGGCGGACGGGUGAGUAACACGUGGAUAACCUACCUAUAAGACUGGGAUAACUUCGGGAAACCGGAGCUAAUACCGGAUAAUAUAUUGAACCGCAUGGUUCAUUAGUGAAAGACGGUUUUGCUUUCACUUAUAGAUGGAUCCGCGCCGCAUUAGCUAGUUGGUAAGGUAACGGCUUACCAAGGCAACGAUGCGUAGCCGACCUGAGAGGGUGAUCGGCCACACUGGAACUGAGACACGGUCCAGACUCCUACGGGAGGCAGCAGUAGGGAAUCUUCCGCAAUGGGCGAAAGCCUGACGGAGCAACGCCGCGUGAGUGAUGAAGGUCUUCGGAUCGUAAAACUCUGUUAUUAGGGAAGAACAAAUGUGUAAGUAACUAUGCACGUCUUGACGGUACCUAAUCAGAAAGCCACGGCUAACUACGUG
This 497-nucleotide ribosomal RNA is filed under the name uncultured bacterium. RNAcentral describes it as "partial 16S ribosomal RNA". It matches the Rfam family "Bacterial small subunit ribosomal RNA", at positions 28 to 507 of the family's 1533-position model. The record is from RNAcentral.